CCUACGGGCGGCUGCAGUAGGGAAUAUUGGACAAUGGGCGCAAGCCUGAUCCAGCCAUGCCGCGUGAGUGAAGAAGGCCCUCGGGUUGUAAAGCUCUUUUGUUGGGGAAGAAAAGCAGUCGGUUAAUACCUGAUUGUUCUGACGGUACCCAAAGAAUAAGCACCGGCUAACUUCGUGCCAGCAGCCGCGGUAAUACGAAGGGUGCAAGCGUGGCUCGGAAUUACUGGGCGUAGAGCGUGCGUACGUAGUUGAAAGCCCUGGGCUCAACCUGGGAAUGGCACUGGAUACUGGCAAGCUAGAGUGUGGCAGAGGGUAGUGGAAUUCCUGGUGUAGCAGUGAAAUGCGUAGAGAUCAGGAGGAACAUCCGUGGCGAAGGCGACUGCCUGGGCCAACACUGACACUGAGGCACGAAAGCGUGGGGAGCAAACAGGAUUAGAUACCCCAGUAGUC
RNAcentral lists this ribosomal RNA (450 nucleotides) under uncultured bacterium. RNAcentral's name for it is "partial 16S ribosomal RNA". It matches the Rfam family "Bacterial small subunit ribosomal RNA", at positions 338 to 795 of the family's 1533-position model. The record is from RNAcentral.